RNAcentral lists this ribosomal RNA (1017 nucleotides) under bacterium. RNAcentral describes it as "bacterial SSU rRNA". It matches the Rfam family "Bacterial small subunit ribosomal RNA", at positions 431 to 1461 of the family's 1533-position model. The record is from RNAcentral.
CUCUUUUAGUAGGGAAGAAGCGAAAGUGACGGUACCUGCAGAAAAAGCACCGGCUAACUACGUGCCAGCAGCCGCGGUAAUACGUAGGGUGCAAGCGUUAUCCGGAAUUAUUGGGCGUAAAGAGCUCGUAGGCGGUUUGUCGCGUCUGCUGUGAAAACUGGGGGCUCAACCCCCAGCCUGCAGUGGGUACGGGCAGACUAGAGUGCGGUAGGGGAGAUUGGAAUUCCUGGUGUAGCGGUGGAAUGCGCAGAUAUCAGGAGGAACACCGAUGGCGAAGGCAGAUCUCUGGGCCGUAACUGACGCUGAGGAGCGAAAGCAUGGGGAGCGAACAGGAUUAGAUACCCUGGUAGUCCAUGCCGUAAACGUUGGGAACUAGAUGUAGGGUCCAUUCCACGGAUUCUGUGUCGCAGCUAACGCAUUAAGUUCCCCGCCUGGGGAGUACGGCCGCAAGGCUAAAACUCAAAGGAAUUGACGGGGGCCCGCACAAGCGGCGGAGCAUGCGGAUUAAUUCGAUGCAACGCGAAGAACCUUACCAAGGCUUGACAUAUACCGGAAAAGGCUGGAAACAGUCUCCCCGCAAGGUCGGUAUACAGGUGGUGCAUGGUUGUCGUCAGCUCGUGUCGUGAGAUGUUGGGUUAAGUCCCGCAACGAGCGCAACCCUCGUUCUAUGUUGCCAGCACGUAAUGGUGGGAACUCAUAGGAGACUGCCGGGGUCAACUCGGAGGAAGGUGGGGAUGACGUCAAAUCAUCAUGCCCCUUAUGUCUUGGGCUUCACGCAUGCUACAAUGGCCGGUACAAAGGGCUGCAAUACCGUAAGGUGGAGCGAAUCCCAAAAAGCCGGUCUCAGUUCGGAUUGAGGUCUGCAACUCGACCUCAUGAAGUCGGAGUCGCUAGUAAUCGCAGAUCAGCAACGCUGCGGUGAAUACGUUCCCGGGCCUUGUACACACCGCCCGUCAAGUCAUGAAAGUCGGUAACACCCGAAGCCAGUGGCCCAACCGCAAGGAGGGAGCUUCGAAG